GGGCAGGUACUCAAGUGGCCAAAGAGGACAGACUGUAAAUCUGUUGCGUGAUCGCUUCGGGGGUUCGAAUCCUCCCCUGCCCACCA
Molecule: transfer RNA, 86 nt
Filed under: Candidatus Omnitrophota bacterium
Lineage: Bacteria; Pseudomonadati; Candidatus Omnitrophota
Description: Candidatus Omnitrophica bacterium tRNA-Tyr
Rfam family: tRNA
About the family: Transfer RNA (tRNA) molecules are approximately 80 nucleotides in length. Their secondary structure includes four short double-helical elements and three loops (D, anti-codon, and T loops). Further hydrogen bonds mediate the characteristic L-shaped molecular structure. tRNAs have two regions of fundamental functional importance: the anti-codon, which is responsible for specific mRNA codon recognition, and the 3' end, to which the tRNAs corresponding amino acid is attached (by aminoacyl-tRNA synthetases). tRNAs cope with the degeneracy of the genetic code in two manners: having more than one tRNA (with a specific anti-codon) for a particular amino acid; and 'wobble' base-pairing, i.e. permitting non-standard base-pairing at the 3rd anti-codon position.
Source: RNAcentral